UACGGAGGGUGCAAGCGUUAUCCGGAUUUACUGGGUUUAAAGGGUGUGUAGGCGGCUUAUUAAGUCAGGGGUGAAAUCCCGGAGCUCAACUUCGGAACUGCCUUUGAUACUAUUAAGCUUGAAUUAUGUUGAGGUUGGCGGAAUAUAACAUGUAGCGGUGAAAUGCAUAGAUAUGUUAUAGAACACCGAUUGCGAAGGCAGCUAACUAAGCAUAAAUUGACGCUGAGGCACGAAAGCGUGGGGAUCAAACAGG
RNAcentral lists this ribosomal RNA (253 nucleotides) under uncultured bacterium. RNAcentral describes it as "partial 16S ribosomal RNA". It matches the Rfam family "Bacterial small subunit ribosomal RNA", at positions 524 to 776 of the family's 1533-position model. The record is from RNAcentral.